This 205-nucleotide ribosomal RNA is filed under the name uncultured bacterium. RNAcentral's name for it is "partial 16S ribosomal RNA". It matches the Rfam family "Bacterial small subunit ribosomal RNA", at positions 1287 to 1500 of the family's 1533-position model. The record is from RNAcentral.
CUCAGUUCGGACUGCAGUCUGCAACUCGACUGCACGAAGCUGGAAUCGCUAGUAAUCGCGGAUCAGCACGCCGCGGUGAAUACGUUCCCGGGCCUUGUACACACCGCCCGUCAAGCCAUGGAAGCCGGGAGUGCCUGAAGUGCGUGAGCGCAAGCAGCGCCCUAAGGUAAAACCGGUGACUGGGGCUAAGUCGUAACAAGGUACC